CCAUUUUCUCUUCUUUUACCAUGAUCACAAAGGCGGUUUUCCCAGGGCGAGGCUCACCCACUGCACUCUGGGUGUGCUGACCCCUGCAAUUUCCCCAAGGGUGGGAAACUCAACUGCAUAAUUUGUGGUCGUGCAGGACUACUUUUCUGCUCUCCUUCA
This is a small nuclear RNA of Myotis myotis, 159 nucleotides long. RefSeq annotates it as U1 spliceosomal RNA. The transcript has a single exon. The record is from RefSeq and is a predicted model, not a curated record. Lineage: Eukaryota; Metazoa; Chordata; Mammalia; Chiroptera; Vespertilionidae.